GAUGAACGCUGGCGGCGUGCCUAAUACAUGCAAGUCGAGCGAACAGACGAGGAGCUUGCUCCUUCGACGUUAGCGGCGGACGGGUGAGUAACACGUAGGUAACCUACCUAUAAGACUGGGAUAACUUCGGGAAACCGGAGCUAAUACCGGAUAAUAUUUCGAACCGCAUGGUUCGAUAGUGAAAGAUGGCUUUGCUAUCACUUCUAGAUAGACCUGCGCCGUAUUAGCUAGUUGGUAAGGUAACGGCUUACCAAGGCAACGAUACGUAGCCGACCUGAGAGGGUGAUCGGCCACACUGGAACUGAGACACGGUCCAGACUCCUACGGGAGGCAGCAGUAGGGAAUCUUCCGCGAUGGGCGAAAGCCUGACGGAGCAACGCCGCGUGAGUGAUGAAGGUCUUCGGAUCGUAAAACUCUGUUAUUAGGGAAGAACAAACGUGUAAGUAACUGUGCACGUCUUGACGGUACCUAAUCAGAAAGCCACGGCUAACUACGUG
This 497-nucleotide ribosomal RNA is filed under the name uncultured bacterium. RNAcentral's name for it is "partial 16S ribosomal RNA". It matches the Rfam family "Bacterial small subunit ribosomal RNA", at positions 28 to 507 of the family's 1533-position model. The record is from RNAcentral.